RNAcentral lists this ribosomal RNA (253 nucleotides) under uncultured bacterium. RNAcentral describes it as "partial 16S ribosomal RNA". It matches the Rfam family "Bacterial small subunit ribosomal RNA", at positions 524 to 776 of the family's 1533-position model. The record is from RNAcentral.
UACAUGGGGUGCAAACGUUGCUCGGAAUUAUUGGGCGUAAAGCGCACGUAGGCGGUUUGUUAAGUCGGAUGUGAAAUCCCUCGGCUCAACUGAGGAAGUGCAUCCGAAACUGGCAAGCUUGAGUACGAAAGAGGAUCGCGGAAUUCCCGGUGUAGAGGUGAAAUUCGUAGAUAUCGGGAGGAACACCAGUGGCGAAGGCGGCGAUCUGGGAAGAUACUGACGCUGAGGUGCGAAAGCGUGGGGAGCAAACAGG